RNAcentral lists this long non-coding RNA (411 nucleotides) under Pongo abelii (Sumatran orangutan). Its description in RNAcentral is "lincRNA". Lineage: Eukaryota; Metazoa; Chordata; Mammalia; Primates; Hominidae. The record is from RNAcentral.
UACUAGGCCAUGUGGCAAGGGCCUGGUUGGGGACCUCCAGGAGCUGAGAGCAUCCUCUGGACAACAUGGAAAAAGAAAAUGGUGACCUCAGCCCUAUAGGUAGAAGGAAUUGAAUCCUGUCAACAAUGAUCCUCAUCACUCACUACAGAUGUUACUUUAAGACAUUCUGGAGCAGCGUCAUGUGCAGGAACAAUGAGGAAGUGAGUGCUUUUGUAAUUCCUGAACGACUGUGUCUUACAUUUAUUAAGGGAUUCAUGGGAAAUAUGACUGAAUAGGAACAGCUCCAGUCUGAAGCUCCCAGUGAGACCAACAUAGAAGGCAAUCUGGGUGUAAUGAAAGAUGUAGACUAACAGAAACACUCAUACCUUUCUGGUGACAAUAAAACUUUGUACAUUUAUUUUGGAAAACCCU